CGGACGGGUGCGUAACGCGUAGGAAUCUGCCUAUUAGUGGGGGACAACGUGGUGAAAACCACGCUAAUACCGCAUACGCCCUACGGGGGAAAGCGGGGGAUCUUCGGACCUCGCGCUAAUAGAUGAGCCUGCGUUAGAUUAGCUAGUUGGUGAGGUAAUGGCUCACCAAGGCGACGAUCUAUAGCUGGUCUGAGAGGACGAUCAGCCACACUGGGACUGAGACACGGCCCAG
Molecule: ribosomal RNA, 232 nt
Filed under: uncultured bacterium
Lineage: Bacteria
Description: partial 16S ribosomal RNA
Rfam family: Bacterial small subunit ribosomal RNA
Source: RNAcentral